GGGUGAGUAACACGUGGAUAACCUACCUAUAAGACUGGGAUAACUUCGGGAAGCCGGAGCUAAUACCGGAUAAUAUUUUGAACCGCAUGGUUCAAAAGUGAAAGACGGUCUUGCUGUCACUUAUAGAUGGAUUCGCGCUGCAUUAGCUAGUUGGUAAGGUAACGGCUUACCAAGGCAACGAUGCAUAGCCGACCUGAGAGGGUGAUCGGCCACACUGGAACUGAGACACGGUCCAG
Molecule: ribosomal RNA, 236 nt
Filed under: uncultured Staphylococcus sp.
Lineage: Bacteria; Bacillati; Bacillota; Bacilli; Caryophanales; Staphylococcaceae
Description: partial 16S ribosomal RNA
Rfam family: Bacterial small subunit ribosomal RNA
Source: RNAcentral